CCUACGGGUGGCAGCAGUGGGGGAUAUUGCACAAUGGAGGGAACUCUGAUGCAGCGACGCCGCGUGGGGGAAGAAGGUUUUCGGAUUGUAAACCUCAGUAGUCGGGGAAGAAAGAAAUGACGGUACCUGAAGAGUAAGCUCCGGCUAACUACGUGCCAGCAGCCGCGGUAAUACGUAGGGAGCGAGCGUUGUCCGGAAUUACUGGGUGUAAAGGGCGUGUAGGCGGGGAUGCAAGUCAGAUGUGAAAUUCCGGGGCUCAACCCCGGCACUGCAUCUGAAACUGUGUCUCUUGAGUGCUGGAGAGGAAAGUGGAAUUCCUAGUGUAGCGGUGAAAUGCGUAGAGAUUAGGAGGAACACCAGUGGCGAAGGCGACUUUCUGGACAGUAACUGACGCUGAGGCGCGAGAGCGUGGGGAGCAAACAGGAUUAGAUACCCCUGUAGUC
Molecule: ribosomal RNA, 443 nt
Filed under: uncultured bacterium
Lineage: Bacteria
Description: bacterial SSU rRNA
Rfam family: Bacterial small subunit ribosomal RNA
Source: RNAcentral